RNAcentral lists this ribosomal RNA (460 nucleotides) under uncultured bacterium. Its description in RNAcentral is "partial 16S ribosomal RNA". It matches the Rfam family "Bacterial small subunit ribosomal RNA", at positions 338 to 795 of the family's 1533-position model. The record is from RNAcentral.
CCUACGGGUGACAGCAGUGAGGAAUCUUCGUCAAUGGACGCGAGUCUGAACCAGCCAAGUAGCGUGAAGGAUGACUGCCCUACGGGUUGUAAACUUCUUUUAUAAAGGAAUAAAGUGAUGCACGUGUGCCUUUUUGUAUGUACCUUAUGAAUAAGGAUCGGCUAACUCCGUGCCAGCAGCCGCGGUAAUACGGAGGAUCCGAGCGUUAUCCGGAUUUGUUGGGUUUAAAGGGAGCGUAGAUGGGUUGUUAAGUUAGUUGUGAAAGUUUGCGGCUCAACCGUAAAAUUGCAAUUGAUACUGGCAGCCUUGAGUACAGUAGAGGUAGGCGGAAUUCGUGGUGUAGCGGUGAAAUGCUUAGAUAUCACGAAGAACUCCGAUUGCGAAGGCAGCUCACUAGACUGCAACUGACACUGAGGCUCGAAAGUGUGGGUAUCAAACAGGAUUAGAUACCCUGGUAGUC